CCUACGGGGGGCAGCAGUGAGGAAUAUUGGUCAAUGGUCGGGAGACUGAACCAGCCAAGCCGCGUGAGGGAUGAAGGUACAGAGUAUCGUAAACCUCUUUUGUCAGGGAACAAAGGCGGGGACGUGUCCCCGGAUGAGUGUACCUGAAGAAAAAGCAUCGGCUAACUCCGUGCCAGCAGCCGCGGUAAUACGGGGGAUGCGAGCGUUAUCCGGAUUUAUGGGGUUUAAGGGGUGCGCAGGCGGUCUGUUAAGUCAGCGGUCAAAGCCCGGGGCUCAACCCCGGCCCGCCGUUGAAACUGGCAGUCUCGAGUUGGAGAGAGGGAUGCGGAAUGCGCGGUGUAGCGGUGAAAUGCAUAGAUAUCGCGCAGAACUCCGAUUGCGAAGGCAGCAUGCCGGCUCCACACUGACGCUGAGGCACGAAAGCGUGGGUAUCGAACAGGAUUAGAGACCCUUGUAGUC
Molecule: ribosomal RNA, 459 nt
Filed under: uncultured bacterium
Lineage: Bacteria
Description: partial 16S ribosomal RNA
Rfam family: Bacterial small subunit ribosomal RNA
Source: RNAcentral